GACGAACGCUGGCGGCGUGCUUAACACAUGCAAGUCGAACGGAAAGGCCCUGCUUUUGUGGGGUGCUCGAGUGGCGAACGGGUGAGUAACACGUGAGUAACCUGCCCUUGACUUAGGGAUAACUUCAGGAAACUGGGGCUAAUACCGGAUAGGAGCUCCUGCUGCAUGUUGGGGGUUGGAAAGUUUCGGCGGUUGGGGAUGGACUCGCGGCUUAUCAGCUUGUUGGUGGGGUAGUGGCUUACCAAGGCUUUGACGGGUAGCCGGCCUGAGAGGGUGACCGGCCACAUUGGGCCUGAGAUACGGCCCAGACUCCUACGGGAGGCAGCAGUGGGGAGUAUUGCACAAUGGGCGGAAGCCUGAUGCAGCAACGCCGCGUGCGGGAUGACGGCCUUCGGGUUGUAAACCGCUUUCGCCUGUGACGAAGCGUGAGUGACGGUAAUGGGUAAAGAAGCACCGGCUAACUACGUG
This 468-nucleotide ribosomal RNA is filed under the name uncultured bacterium. Its description in RNAcentral is "partial 16S ribosomal RNA". It matches the Rfam family "Bacterial small subunit ribosomal RNA", at positions 28 to 507 of the family's 1533-position model. The record is from RNAcentral.